Pelobates cultripes (western spadefoot toad) is the source of this 109-nucleotide non-coding RNA. The record is from the annotation of a GenBank genome assembly. NCBI's taxonomy places the organism in Eukaryota, Metazoa, Chordata, Amphibia, Anura, Pelobatidae.
AUUCAAAUAUUGCCAAUAAGGAUCAACGUUUCAACCUUGUGGUCUUUAUCAAGCUUGAUAAAGACCGCAAGGUCUAAACGUUGAUUCUUAUUGGCAACAUUUGAGUGCG